Molecule: long non-coding RNA, 652 nt
Filed under: Fragaria vesca (wild strawberry)
Lineage: Eukaryota; Viridiplantae; Streptophyta; Magnoliopsida; Rosales; Rosaceae
Description: long non-coding RNA (FVES_LNC004731)
Source: RNAcentral
AAUUAUGAAGGUUUUGACUAAAGAAAUUACGGUAGAGAAAUUUAGAGAGAAUGAUAAGAGACAAACAAAUUGUAGAAGCUUGAAUAUAUAUAUAGACGUAAAUAUAUCAUGAAUUGAUUAGGAUUGUACAUUGUGUGAUUAGCAAAUCUAUCCAAAUUAGGACAGCAGAAAACUUGUCUACUAUAUUAAUUGGCAAUAUAUUUUCAAAAAAUAAAAUAAUAUAAGGAUAAAAGCUUUUUUUUAACGUCUCAAGACAAGAUAUAUAUUUAAAAGAUUAAAAAACAUGGGGAUAGAAGUUUUUUUUACGUAUGGAUGAGGGGUGUCAGAAAGAGGCAAGUUUUGGUCGACAGUAUAUUUCCUCAGCCACUAAGAACUCAACUUGAAAUGUGAGAGGGUUCAAUUGAACCCCCUCGCCCCAUAGUGGCUACGCCACUGUCACCAUGCAACCAAUUUGACAGAAUUUUAUAUUUUAAAUUGUUAUAUGUUUAAUAAUUUUUUUGAACUACUCCGAUGAUCCAACCUAAAAAACAAAGAUCCUAAGAAACAAAUACCGACAAAAAAAACCUUUAAAAAUAAUACGCGAGAAGAAAUAGUAAAUAAUGGAUUUGAUAAGCAAAAUUGGGGGAACAGUUUAAAGAGGACUACGUCAGGU